This is a non-coding RNA of Anopheles culicifacies, 111 nucleotides long. Lineage: Eukaryota; Metazoa; Arthropoda; Insecta; Diptera; Culicidae. The record is from Rfam.
GGAGGGGUUUAGUGGGUAGGCGUCGGCUUUCAGUGGCCGAUGAAUCCCACACUGCUUGGGCUAUUAGCCAGUUGGUUGGUUGUCUAAGUGUCUUCCGAAGAUUCCCCUCCC